UACAGAGGUCCCGAGCGUUGUUCGGAUUCACUGGGCGUAAAGGGUGCGUAGGUGGUGAGGUAAGUCGGAUGUGAAAUCUCGGAGCUUAACUCCGAAAUGGCAUUGGAAACUACCUCGCUCGAGGGUUGGAGGGGGGACUGGAAUGCUUGGUGUAGCAGUGAAGUGCGUAGAUAUCAAGCGGAACACCAGUGGCGAAGGCGAGUCCCUGGACAACUCCUGACACUGAGGCACGAAAGCUAGGGGAGCAAACAGG
This 253-nucleotide ribosomal RNA is filed under the name uncultured bacterium. RNAcentral describes it as "partial 16S ribosomal RNA". It matches the Rfam family "Bacterial small subunit ribosomal RNA", at positions 524 to 776 of the family's 1533-position model. The record is from RNAcentral.